CGGCGGACGGGUGAGUAAUGCCUAGGAAUCUGCCUGGUAGUGGGGGAUAACGUCCGGAAACGGACGCUAAUACCGCAUACGUCCUACGGGAGAAAGCAGGGGACCUUCGGGCCUUGCGCUAUCAGAUGAGCCUAGGUCGGAUUAGCUAGUUGGUGGGGUAAUGGCUCACCAAGGCGACGAUCCGUAACUGGUCUGAGAGGAUGAUCAGUCACACUGGAACUGAGACACGGUCCAUACUCCUACGGGAGGCAGCAGUGGGGAAUAUUGGACAAUGGGCGAAAGCCUGAUCCUGCCAUGCCGCGUGUGUGAAGAAGGUCUUCGGAUUGUAAAGCACUUUAAGUUGGGAGGAAGGGCAGUAAAUUAAUACUUU
This 370-nucleotide ribosomal RNA is filed under the name uncultured bacterium. RNAcentral describes it as "bacterial SSU rRNA". It matches the Rfam family "Bacterial small subunit ribosomal RNA", at positions 96 to 470 of the family's 1533-position model. The record is from RNAcentral.